RNAcentral lists this ribosomal RNA (709 nucleotides) under uncultured organism. Its description in RNAcentral is "bacterial SSU rRNA". It matches the Rfam family "Bacterial small subunit ribosomal RNA", at positions 83 to 806 of the family's 1533-position model. The record is from RNAcentral.
CUUUGGUGGAAAGCGGCGGACGGGUGAGUAACGCGUGGGCAACCUACCGGAUACGGGGGGACAACAUCGGGAAACCGGUGCUAAUACCGCAUAACACAUUGAAAUGGAAUCAUUAUGAUGUNCAAGGAGGAAUCCGGUAUAAGAUGGGCCCGCGUCCAAUUAGCUAGUUGGUGAGGUAACGGCUCACCAAGGCGACGAUUGGUAGCCGAACUGAGAGGUUGAUCGGCCACAUUGGGACUGAGACACGGNCCAGACUCCUACGGGAGGCAGCAGUGGGGAAUAUUGCACAAUGGGGGAAACCCUGAUGCAGCAACGCCGCGUGAAGGAUGAAGGUCUUCGGAUUGUAAACUUCUUUGAUUGGGGAAGAAGAAGUGACGGUACCCAAAAAACAAGCCACGGCUAACUACGUGCCAGCAGCCGCGGUAAUACGUAGGUGGCAAGCGUUGUCCGGAAUUACUGGGUGUAAAGGGCGUGUAGGCGGGGAUGCAAGUCAGGUGUGAAAGCCCAUGGCUCAACUGUGGGACUGCAUCUGAAACUGAAUCUCUUGAGUACUGGAGAGGGAAGUGGAAUUCCUAGUGUAGCGGUGAAAUGCGUAGAGAUUAGGAGGAACACCAGUGGCGAAGGCGGCUUCCUGGACAGUAACUGACGCUGAGGCGCGAAAGCGUGGGGAGCGAACAGGAUUAGAUACCCUGGUAGUCCACGCCGUAAA